AUUGAACGCUGGCGGCAUGCUUUACACAUGCAAGUCGAACGGUAACGCGGGGGCAACCCUGGCGACGAGUGGCGAACGGGUGAGUAAUACAUCGGAACGUGCCCAUUAGUGGGGGAUAGCCCGGCGAAAGCCGGAUUAAUACCGCAUACGUCCUACGGGAGAAAGCGGGGGAUCGCAAGACCUCGCGCUAAUGGAGCGGCCGAUGCCAGAUUAGCUUGUUGGUGGGGUAAAGGCUUACCAAGGCAGCGAUCUGUAGCUGGUCUGAGAGGACGACCAGCCACACUGGGACUGAGACACGGCCCAGACUCCUACGGGAGGCAG
This 321-nucleotide ribosomal RNA is filed under the name uncultured Pseudomonadota bacterium. RNAcentral's name for it is "bacterial SSU rRNA". It matches the Rfam family "Bacterial small subunit ribosomal RNA", at positions 30 to 351 of the family's 1533-position model. Lineage: Bacteria; Pseudomonadati; Pseudomonadota. The record is from RNAcentral.